Non-coding RNA from Ceratotherium simum simum (southern white rhinoceros), 72 nucleotides. NCBI's taxonomy places the organism in Eukaryota, Metazoa, Chordata, Mammalia, Perissodactyla, Rhinocerotidae. The record is from the annotation of a RefSeq genome assembly.
GCCCUGAUGGUCUAGUGGUUAAGAUUUGGCGCUCUCACUGCCAUGACCCAGGUUCGUUUCCUGGUCAGGGAA